Molecule: long non-coding RNA, 622 nt
Filed under: Macaca fascicularis (crab-eating macaque)
Lineage: Eukaryota; Metazoa; Chordata; Mammalia; Primates; Cercopithecidae
Description: lncRNA (ENSMFAG00000051386.1)
Source: RNAcentral
GUGUCGAGGGGAGCGCGCGCGGUGAGGGCGCGCGCCGGCGGCUGGGGGAGGAGCGGGGGCCGGGGCGCUCCUGUGGGAAGGUAGGGUGAAAGGUCGCCGGUCCCCGGCAACACGGCUCAGGCAAACGUAAGCGGCUUGUCGCAGAAACCAAGGGGUCCACGAAACGCGCUAGGCUAGAAGGCGGGAAGGAGAGAUUACUGACAGCCGUGCCAGCCAAUAAAAUGGAAAUUUCUGAAAUAACCCAUCUUGAAGACAUAAACAACCUGCAUUGAUGGCUAGCCAGACUCUGUCCUGCCACAGUUCUCCUCCUACUCUUCAUUUCUUACCCCAAGGAGUAGUAAACAUGAAUCCUGACCCACCAAUGCAGUCCCAGAACUGAGAAAAGAUUCAUUGCAGCUAAACAGUAGGUAGAAAUAAAAACAAUGACUCAAUUCGAUAAUAUUAAGUGUGUUGGGAAGACAGUCUCCAAAAGAAAGGAUAAAUAACCUACAUAAUGAAGAAUUACUUAGCAGUGUUAUGUAAAUAUUGUAGCAGCAUCAAUGAGGAGGUGAACAGUGCCCUAUGGAACUCCAGGAACUUCAAAACAUUUUUAUCCAGGCUUUUGCUACAUUUUGAUGAAUAA